RNAcentral lists this long non-coding RNA (1134 nucleotides) under Felis catus (domestic cat). RNAcentral describes it as "lncRNA (ENSFCAG00000050591.1)". The record is from RNAcentral. Lineage: Eukaryota; Metazoa; Chordata; Mammalia; Carnivora; Felidae.
UGGACACAAUGCAGUUUGUGAAGGAACUACGUGAAAUCACUUGUGCUCACAAUAUGAAUGGAGAAUAAUUGUCUAUAAGUUUCCAAUUUUUUUUGCAUGGUUCUACUUCAUAAUGCUAAGAUAGUUUACAAUGUAAAUUAAUCUUUGCUAAUUAUUUUUGUGCACUGAAGCAGUCCUUCCAACUUUGAUCAGAGCUAACAAUGACUGGGUACCUAUUCUGAGCCAGGCACCAUGCUAAGUGCUACCUAUCUCUGGCUAAGUCCUUGAGGCUACCCUCAGAGUUCUCAUUUUAAAAAGGAGAGAACAGAGUAGAGGUUCCCUUCCAUUUCCUGGAUUGAUAAAUAUGGGUUUGACACGUUCUUUCGAUUUGGGUUUUCACCUGAAUUCCAACUGAAGCACUAUAAUCUAAUACUUGAAACCCAUGGCAUCUUGGGACAAAAAUGUAAAUAUUUCCAUCUUCUAGUAAUUCAGCCUCUCUCUCUCUCUUACCCCAUCUACAAUUUCUGCUUACUUCAAUAAGCACCUGGUGACAUUUCUCCUAAUUUGCCUGUUGUUUGGAUCUUCCUUUUUUCUUCAUCGAAGAGCUUAGAAUCACUGCACAGCAAUUGGUUCUCCAGUGCUAGCCGGAUCGCUCAAAAGGUAUAUCCCUGCCUGGUGGAUUUUCGAUUGAAAUAAAAUAAGAUGACAAGAAAGUACAGGGAAGAUGAAUGGCUUGAGCUGAUGGGCAGCAUUUGGAAUUGGGUUUUGUUUUCUUCGAGAACUGCCCUGUCAUUUUUCUUCGUCUUCUCCUGUCCCUGCUGCGUCUGUCUAGGGGAUGUCUUUUAAAGUGAAAAAUUGAGUAAUAGCUUCAUAAGAAGUCCUGAGAAAAUGCCUCCUGGAUCCCAACUUAGCCUCAAUUCACAUGACCCGCUCCAUGGAGUAAUGUGCUUUUUUUCUCUUUUAUUCAAUUAGGCCUCAAUUAUGACCCAGGAAAUCAGCCUCUGGCCUAAAUGGGAACAGCAAGCAGAACAAGCCAAUUGCCACCGGCAGCCUAUUCCAUUUGAAAACAGUAGCAUCAACUGCAGAUUGGUGAAAAUCCGGCUGCAAGUUCCCAUCUGCCUUCAGGUACGAAAAGAGGUAAAAGAGGCACUUUGA